CCUACGGGAGGCAGCAGUCAGGAAUAUUGCGCAAUGGAGGAAACUCUGACGCAGCGACGCCGCGUGGGGGAUGACGGCCUUCGGGUUGUAACUCCUUUCGCCAGGGACGAAGCGUCAGUGACGGUACCCGCAGAAGAAGUCCCGGCUAACUUCGUGCCAGCAGCCGCGGU
This 170-nucleotide ribosomal RNA is filed under the name uncultured Corynebacterium sp. RNAcentral's name for it is "partial 16S ribosomal RNA". It matches the Rfam family "Bacterial small subunit ribosomal RNA", at positions 338 to 521 of the family's 1533-position model. Lineage: Bacteria; Bacillati; Actinomycetota; Actinomycetes; Mycobacteriales; Corynebacteriaceae. The record is from RNAcentral.